GUAGAUGGUGUAGAGAAUUCCGAGUGUGAAGAGAAGGAUAAGAAGCUGAAUUAGUAUGUCUGACUCCAUUGUUAUUAGCUCAGCCAAACAGGGGAGUUAGCCCCAUUCAAUCCUUGUACUCGAAUGGAGGACUGUGAAGCUGGUAAUUGUACCUUUUUUCUGUUUUGUUUUUAAACUUUGGGCUGUCUGGAUUAUUUCUUGAGGCCCAUGCUGAAUGAAGGCCCAGUAAUUGAAACUGCCUCUUGAGGUCCAUUUGUGGAGUUCCUUUUCUUUUUGGGGAUGGGGAAGGGGUGGGUGAUGGGUUUAGGGGGUGAGUGGAACAGAUAUAAGCAUAUUAAUGAUGCUCAAUUUGGGGGGAUCAAAAAAUGAAAGUUUAAUAAGUUUAGUGAUUGUACUGUUAUUAAAAAAAAUGUUGAUGAUAGAUUUCAGACUAAGUACUACAAUUUCAAUGUCAUAAAAUGUAAAAUGUUUAUGAAGAGUUGUAAGGACAUAAAGAUGCAAGUCAUAUUUUGACGAUUUGAAUUGCUCAAAAUGAUGCAGAGCAUUUGUGUUUCCGUGCUCUCCUUUCCUUUUCUGUGGAAGGUGAACUAUUGAAAUUUAUGAAGGUCCCCUAAAGAUCACAAAUUAUGAAUAGUAAGAUGUUUGAUGACUCACAAGUAAGGAGACUCCAACAUACAUUUAAAGUUUCUUUUUGGUAUAAGCCUAUUUGUACACCUUUGACACUUUAAUAGGCCAAGCCGUUUGAUGUUGACUUCUUUUCAACACAUCAAUUGUCCCUUUUUCAAUUAUAAAAGAAGUAUGUUGUUUGAUGUCGCGGUAAGAAUUGACAUGGAAAUUUGACAACUGGUUGGUAUCCAGAUCCUUAAUUAGCUCCUCAAAAUUUUGGUAUGCACAAAGAUGUUUGAUUAACCAUAAUAAAAUAUCACAAAGUGAGUUCUCCAAACGCCAUUUUCUUUUUACCUCUUGACUCACUGACUUUAACUAUUUUACUGACACUUUCAACAAAUAUUGUAACAAAAUAAUGGAACGCCGAAAAAAGUAAUUCAGCCAAGUAAACAUUUAACCUUCUGUUGUCACUGUAAAACAUCUUUUUUGUUACUAUAAUAAUAGUAUCUUCAGAUCCUACAAUGGCCUAUCGAGUAAGAGACAUGCUAGAGUAAUCUCAGUUUCAUAGCGUUGUUGCUUUUGGCCUUAGCUCAAUCAUACCGAAGAGUUUGGUUUCUUAGUUCACAAAAUUGAAUCAACUGAAGUAGCUUCACUAGUGCUAGUGUUUGGGUUGCUACAUGAAGGCUUAAUUGAUCUACUACGUACUGUUUCAAGCAGACGUUCUAGAUUUUUUCUUGUUUUGUGUAAUUUGCUUCUCUGUUUUAACAUAAUUUAAUGGCAAAUGCUGAAGAAACAAGUCAUAUCAUGAUAUGAUAGACCACAAUCAUUUGCUUUAUCUUUAUUCUUCAGAUACUUCAGAUGAUACUAUUAUCUCGGUUCAAGAACUAUGUUACGUGGAAUCGUUCUAUGAGAACGAGUUUGAUAACGUGUAUGAAUUUAGCUAGACUCCUGCAACUUUAUAAGGAGACUGCAAGUUUUAACUCAAGGAGUUCCAUCUCUGCCUGGUUAUUUAAGUGGAAAGAUGCAGGGAGGAUUCAAACUGAGGCUCAUACGGUGGCAAGAACAGUGCACAAUGUGAAUUGUGUCAUUUCAAGAGACACAAAAAGGUAAUUGUUACAAAUUACGUGGUUAUCCAGCUUACUGCAAACCUUUGAAUGAAUGUUUUGGAAGUCAAUCAAGCCAUUUGGCUUUAUGCAAAGUAUAGUACACUAUUACACCAUUCACAAUUACCAUCCACAUGAUCUAACUAAACUCUUUAUUGCGUGGUUCUUACAAUGAGGACACUAAGGCAGAUCUUUAACAGCCUGAUAAAUACAUAAAUGUGAUGUACAGUAGAGAAACAUUGUGGUUGAUGUCUAACUUAGAACUACAAACGACUUUCAAAUUGUAUUGUCCAAGAUAUAUAGUGAAAAAGGCACAAUAUUCACUUUUACAGGAUAGGGAGUCUGACUAGAUAUCAAAGAAUACGUACUUGAGGUUCCUUUUGGUAUUAAUAUGCCUGCAAUAAGGUUUAGUGUCUCGUCAUUCUUUUUUUUUUGUGUGUGUGGGGGGCUUGGGGAUGAGGAGAGAUUGGAACUUACACCUCUUGCUUCGAGAAAGUAAAUGUGUAAAUGUUAAUGCUAUUCAUGGAACAAAACUUCAACAAAUUUUCUGCUUAAUCUGACUCAGUGUUCGUGGGAGGGCCUCUGUAAUGUGCUGGUAGUGUUGUUGGAAGAACAUUUGCCGGAUCCCUUCUGCCUUAAUGAUGGGAAAUAUGAUGCCUGAUGCAGACUGAACAAAAAAAAGAGCAUACACGCUAAAAUGGUCAUACUUUUUAACAAGGUGAACAAUUAUGCAGGAAUUGCAACUAGAACGAAGCGCAAUAUUAAAGCACAUGCUCAAAGAGUCAACGGAAACAGUUUGAAUACUGCAUUUAAGGAACAUACCGAGAUUAAUCUUGCUCCGAUCCACAACUUCUUUGGAGAAGGAAAAGGC
This 2580-nucleotide long non-coding RNA is filed under the name Capsicum annuum. Its description in RNAcentral is "long non-coding RNA (CANN_LNC002885)". Lineage: Eukaryota; Viridiplantae; Streptophyta; Magnoliopsida; Solanales; Solanaceae. The record is from RNAcentral.